This 425-nucleotide long non-coding RNA is filed under the name Ananas comosus (pineapple). RNAcentral's name for it is "long non-coding RNA (ACOM_LNC006410)". The record is from RNAcentral. Lineage: Eukaryota; Viridiplantae; Streptophyta; Magnoliopsida; Poales; Bromeliaceae.
UUUAAAUUUUUAAAGUUUGAUUUACAUAUUGAAAUUAGAUAUAUGAAAAAAUUUAAAUGUGCCAAUUGAUAAGUUGAAGAAUUAUUGAAAAAUAUAAAGAUAUUAUACAUAUCCACCUAUUUAUUUAUAAAUAAUAAGUUUAAAUGAUUGAUAAAAUUAUACAAUUAUUUUAUAUAUAGUGAAGGUGAUAUCAUCAAUCUAUCUGAAAAAGGUGACGAGAUUUAUAAAUAAAACUAUCAACUUCACAUUACUAAACAGAAAAAAUACAACUGCAACAGUUGCAUCUACAUAAAAUCAAACAAAUUAUGUGUAAUUACAACUAUUAUAAUUUUUAACUAUAUUGUAUUUAUAACUACAUCCAACUAAAUAACCCCUAAAAUUAGUAAUAAUUAAAUGCGUGAAAUUUAAUACUAAUAUUGAAUCAU